AACGUAGGUGGCGAGCGUUAUCCGGAUUUACUGGGCGUAAAGCGUGUGCAGGCGGUCGUUCAAGUGGUGUAUGAAAUCGCCCGGCUUAACCGGGCGGGGUUAGGCCAGACUGGACGACUGGAGUGCGGGAGAGGGACGUGGAAUUCCGGGUGUAGUGGUGAAAUGCGUAGAGAUCCGGAGGAACCCCAGCGGCGAAGGCGGCGUCCUGGCCCGCAACUGACGCUCAGACACGACAGCAUGGGGAGCGAACGGG
Molecule: ribosomal RNA, 253 nt
Filed under: uncultured bacterium
Lineage: Bacteria
Description: partial 16S ribosomal RNA
Rfam family: Bacterial small subunit ribosomal RNA
Source: RNAcentral